Molecule: ribosomal RNA, 377 nt
Filed under: uncultured bacterium
Lineage: Bacteria
Description: bacterial SSU rRNA
Rfam family: Bacterial small subunit ribosomal RNA
Source: RNAcentral
UAAUACGAACCGUCCAAACGUUAUUCGGAUUCAUUGGGCUUAAAGGGUACGUAGGCGGCGCUAUCAGUCGGGUGUGAAAGCCCUCGGCUCAACCGAGGAACUGCGCCCGAUACUGUAGUGCUUGAGGGAGACAGAGGUAAGCGGAACUGAUGGUGGAGCGGUGAAAUGCGUUGAUAUCAUCAGGAACACCGGUGGCGAAAGCGGCUUACUGGGUCUCUUCUGACGCUGAGGUACGAAAGCUAGGGGAGCGAACGGGAUUAGAUACCCCGGUAGUCCUAGCUAUAAACGUUGAGCACUUGACCGUGGGGCCCCCCAUAGCCUCUCGGUCGUAGCGAAAGUGAUAAGUGCUCCGCCUGGGGAGUAUGGUCGCAAGGCUG